AACGAACGCUGGCGGCAGGCUUAACACAUGCAAGUCGAGCGCGCGGCGCGAUGCGUCAGCGGCAGACGAGUGAGUAACGCGUAGGUACGUACCGUUUCGUUCGGAACAAGACAGAGAAACUUUUGCUCAUACCGGAUACUCACGUGGGGGGAAAGAUUUAUCGCCGAAAGAUCGGCCCGCGUCUGAUUAGCUAGUUGGUGAGGUAACGGCUCACCAAGGCGACGAUCAGUAGCUGGUCUGAGAGGAUGAUCAGCCACAUUGGGACUGAGACACGGCCCAAACUCCUACGGGAGGCAGCAGUGGGGAAUAUUGGACAAUGGGCGCAAGCCUGAUCCAGCCAUGCCGCGUGAGUGAUGAAGGCCUUAGGGUUGUAAAGCUCUUUUGUCCGGGAAGAUAAUGACGGUACCGGAAGAAUAAGCCCCGGCUAACUUCGUG
Molecule: ribosomal RNA, 435 nt
Filed under: uncultured bacterium
Lineage: Bacteria
Description: partial 16S ribosomal RNA
Rfam family: Bacterial small subunit ribosomal RNA
Source: RNAcentral